AGAACACACAUUAAUUAUCCCUGGGGCCAUGGGAUAAAAAAAAAACCAUGCAAAAACAAGUUAGCACACCCUAGAAUGGUUAUAGCACAAUUACUAAUCUAUGGCUCUGAUACCAGUUGAAGGGAAAAACCU
RNAcentral lists this microRNA precursor (132 nucleotides) under Vitis vinifera (wine grape). RNAcentral describes it as "MIR845_2 microRNA precursor family". It matches the Rfam family "MIR845_2 microRNA precursor family". The record is from Rfam by way of RNAcentral. Lineage: Eukaryota; Viridiplantae; Streptophyta; Magnoliopsida; Vitales; Vitaceae.